Molecule: ribosomal RNA, 429 nt
Filed under: uncultured prokaryote
Also listed under: 1 other name
Description: bacterial SSU rRNA
Rfam family: Bacterial small subunit ribosomal RNA
Source: RNAcentral
UAGGGAAUCUUCCGCAAUGGACGAAAGUCUGACGGAGCAACGCCGCGUGAGUGAAGAAGGUUUUCGGAUCGUAAAACUCUGUUGUCGGAGAAGAACAAGUAGGAGAGUAACUGUUCCUACCUUGACGGUACCCGACCAGAAAGCCACGGCUAACUACGUGCCAGCAGCCGCGGUAAUACGUAGGUGGCAAGCGUUGUCCGGAUUUAUUGGGCGUAAAGCGAGCGCAGGUGGUUUCUUAAGUCUGAUGUGAAAGCCCACGGCUCAACCGUGGAAGGUCAUUGGAAACUGGGGAACUUGAAUGCAGAAGAGGAGAGUGGAAUUCCAUGUGUAGCGGUGAAAUGCGUAGAUAUAUGGAGGAACACCAGUGGCGAAGGCGACUCUCUGGUCUGUUAUUGACACUGAGGCUCGAAAGCGUGGGGAGCAAACAGG